UGGUGAAGAUGAAGAAGAACCGAGAGGAAAUGAUCUUAUUCUCUCUUAUUUUUAAUGAACAAAUUAUUGUGUCUCGUUGAGUGUAAAAUAUAACAUUCUAUCGAUCACGUUGUAGUUUGUUGUCAUUGAAAUAAAAUAUUUGAUAAUAGUAAGUGACGAUAAAAAUUAAAAAUCAAACUCAAUGAUUUGAGGAAGCCACAAGAAAUUACAACGCUACAAUCCUUAUUUUCGAAAGAACGACAAAAGUUAUUUCGAAAAUUACAAAUUGCCGGCUUGGCACCAAUGUGACUAACAAAACCUUCGGUUCGCUUAGAUGUACAUCAUCAGUACAUGGAGGAAAAAUCGAGGACGGUGAUUGGUUGACCGGGCACAAUCAUA
RNAcentral lists this long non-coding RNA (378 nucleotides) under Setaria viridis. Its description in RNAcentral is "long non-coding RNA (SVIR_LNC001030)". The record is from RNAcentral. Lineage: Eukaryota; Viridiplantae; Streptophyta; Magnoliopsida; Poales; Poaceae.